This is a non-coding RNA of Candidatus Thiomargarita nelsonii, 5179 nucleotides long. NCBI's taxonomy places the organism in Bacteria, Pseudomonadati, Pseudomonadota, Gammaproteobacteria, Thiotrichales, Thiotrichaceae. The record is from Rfam.
GGUCAAGUAAUUAAGCGCACACGGUGGAUGCCUUGGCGAUAACAGGCGAUGAAGGACGUGGUAGUCUGCGAAAAGCUUCGGAGAGUCGACAAACAGGCUGUGAUCCGAAGAUGUCCGAAUGGGGAAACCCACCUCUUAGAGGUAUUUACACCUGAAUCUAUAGGGUGUAGAGGCGAACCUAGGGAACUGAAACAUCUAAGUACCUAGAGGAAAAGAAAUCAACCGAGAUUCCGUUAGUAGCGGCGAGCGAACGCGGAACAGCCCAGUCACAUAAAACUUAAUACGUUUAGCAGAACGACUUGGAAAAGUCGGCGAUACAGGGUGAUAGUCCCGUAUGCGAAAAGCAUGUUAAGUGGGUGACUAAAAAGUAAGGCGGGACACGUGAUAUCCUGUCUGAAGAAUCUCCUUCGGGAGAGUGGGGGGACCAUCCUCCAAGGCUAAAUACUCGUUAUCGACCGAUAGUGAACUAGUACCGUGAGGGAAAGGCGAAAAGAACCCCUGUUAGGGGAGUGAAAUAGAACCUGAAACCGUGUGCGUACAAGCAGUGGGAGCAUAGUUUAGCUAUGUGACUGCGUACCUUUUGUAUAAUGGGUCAGCGACUUACUUUCAGUGGCAAGCUUAACCGAAUAGGGGAGGCGUAGGGAAACCGAGUCUUAAUAGGGCGAAUUAGUCGCUGGGAGUAGACCCGAAACCGAGCGAUCUAUCCAUGGUCAGGGUGAAGAUGGGGUAAUUCCUAUUGGAGGCCCGAACCCACUUAUGUUGAAAAAUGAGGGGAUGAACUGUGGAUAGGAGUGAAAGGCUAAUCAAGCUCGGAGAUAGCUGGUUCUCCUCGAAAGCUAUUUAGGUAGCGCCUCGUGUCUCACUCUCGGGGGUAGAGCACUGUUACGGCUAGGGGGCCAUCUCGGCUUACCAAACCGUUGCAAACUCCGAAUACCGAGAAGUGCAAUCACGGGAGACACACGGCGGGUGCUAAGGUCCGUCGUGGAAAGGGAAACAGCCCAGACCGCCAGCUAAGGUCCCAAAAUCAUGGCUCAGUGGGAAACGAUGUGGGAAGGCAUAGACAGCCAGGAGGUUGGCUUAGAAGCAGCCAUCCUUUAAAGAAAGCGUAAUAGCUCACUGGUCUAGUCGGCCUGCGCGGAAGAUUUAACGGGGCUUAAGCCAUGUACCGAAGCUGCGGAUACCCCUUUAGGGGUAUGGUAGAGGAGCGUUCUGUAAGCCUGUGAAGGUGUGUUGUAAGACAUGCUGGAGGUAUCAGAAGUGCGAAUGCUGACAUGAGUAGCGAUAAUGAGUGUGAAAGACAUUCACGCCGAAAGUCCAAGGUUUCCUCGCGCAACGUUAAUCGGCGCAGGGUGAGUCGGCCCCUAAGGCGAGGCAGAAAUGCGUAGUCGAUGGGAAACAGGUUAAUAUUCCUGUACUUCAGGUUAUUGCGAAGGGGGGACGGAGAAGGCUAGACCAUCAGGAGAUUGGUUGUUCCUGUUCAAGGUUGUAGGCAGAGUACUUAGGUAAAUCCGGGUACUUAAUGCUGAGAACUGACGACGAGGUCUCUUUUUAGAGUACCGAAGUGGUUAAUGCCAUGCUUCCAAGAAAAGCCUCUAAGCCUCAGAUAACUUGGAACCGUACCCAAAACCGACACAGGUGGACAGGGUGAGAAUCCCAAGGCGCUUGAGAGAACUCGGGUGAAGGAACUAGGCAAAAUAGCACCGUAACUUCGGGAGAAGGUGUGCCCUUGGUACGUGAAAGGACUUGCUCCUGGAGCGGAAGAGGGUUGCAGUGACCAGGUGGCUGCGACUGUUUAUUAAAAACAUAGCACUCUGCAAACACGAAAGUGGACGUAUAGGGUGUGACGCCUGCCCGGUGCCGGAAGGUUAAUUGAUGAUGUUAGGGCAACCGAAGCAUUUGAUCGAAGCCCCGGUAAACGGCGGCCGUAACUAUAAAUAUAAUGACCGAUUGUAGUUACGCUAAAAAACUUGGCUAUAUGCUGGAAACGCCGAAGUAUCCUCCAGUACUCGUCUCAAGAUGAGACAGUGACAAUCUGUGAGGUGCGGUCAAUCAGCAGGAAAGAUUUCUAAAAUAAUAGAAUACUAUUAUGUUAAAGGUAAACGAAAUUCCUAAUCAAAUUGGUUAUUACCUUGCCGGUUUUACCGAUGGCGAGGGGAGUUUUAAUAUAUCCUUUCGUAAAAGGAAAGAUUAUCAGAUGCCGUGGAAAAUUUCACUGUGUUUUAAUGUAUCGCAGCGUGACAAAGUCAUUUUAGCUUUGUUCAAGCAACAUUUAAAAUGUGGUACGUUACGCAGUAGAGACGAUGGUGUUUGGUAUUAUGAAGUCAAUAACCUAAAUUCUAUCAACGAAAAUGUUAUUCCUUUUUUCAAAAAAUUUGGUUUUUUAUCUGCCAAAAAAAAACGUGAUUUUGCUAAAUUUAAAAAGUUGGCAAUUAUGUUGAAUAAUGGAGAACAUUUAACUGAAGAUGGAUUGAAAAAUAUCCUUAAAAUCAGAAAAGAUAUGAAUGAUGGUGGUGCAGGAAGACGAAAGUAUUCUGAAACAGAUAUUUUAAAUGAAAUGAAUUUGGGAAAAUCCUCAGAGACUACACGCCAAGCAAACACGAAAUGAAAUAAUAUUGCCGCUAAUUUCGUGGAUGAUGAUAUAGUCCGGUCUCUAUAGCGAUAUAGAGGGCUUAAAUGUAUUUUUUAAGUCGCAUUAGAUAUUUUAAAUAUCUGCUGUAACAUGACGAACGGUCCUAAGGUAGCGAAAUUCCUUGUCGGGUAAGUAACUUGCCCCACUAUCUCGUGAGAGAUAGACGAAAAAACCAGCUCAUAUCGGAGAAACCUUCAUAUCUGUGCAAGAUAAAGGCAAUUCCGAGGGAAGUCUUAGUGACCCCGUAACGACUGAACCGAAAGGUGAGGCACAUGAAAUUGUGUGCAAUACGCUGGUUUCUCAUCUCUAUAUAUAAUAUAUAGAAUAGAGGGAUCUAUGGAGAACAAAAAUCUACAGCCUUGGUUUGUAACAGGGUUGGUUGAUGGAGAAGGUUGUUUUUCUGUUUCAUUUACCUUACGUAAAAGAUUAAAAAUAGGUAUAGAAACCCGCCCUUCUUUUUCAAUAUCUCUAAAUCGUAGAGAUUUGGUUUUGAUUAAAAAAGUACAUACAUUUUUUGGAUGUGGUGCUGUUAGAUAUUCAAAGUCAGAUAGGACUUACAAAUAUGAAGUCCGUUCUAUAAAGGAUUUAAUCACAAAAAUAUUACCACAUUUUAAACGGUAUUCUUUGCAAGGUGAUAAAUCUAAAGAUUUCACGAUUUUCCAAGAGAUAUGUAAAGAUAUUCAUGCUAAUCAUCAUUUGAGCAAGAAGUUUUUGUCGAAUAUUAUUAGCAAGGCUUAUGAAAUGAAUCCUUCAGGAAAAAGGAAACAUGAAAAAGCUGAACUCCUAAGGAUGCUAGGUGAGAUAAUGGUAUAGUCUAUAGCCUAUAGAAAUAUAGGGAAUAAUAUGAAGUUCCGACCUGCACGAAUGGCGUAACGAUGGCCACGCUGUCUCCACCCGAGACUCAGCGAAAUUGAAUUUGCUGUUAAGAUGCAGUAUACCCGCGGCUAGACGGAAAGACCCCGUGAACCUUUACUAUAGCUUUACACUGGACUUUGAGCCUGCCUGUGUAGGAUAGGUGGGAGGCUUUGAAACCUUGACGCUAGUUGAGGUGGAGCCAUCCUUGAAAUACCACCCUGGCAUGUUUGGGGUUCUAACUUAGACCCGUUAUCCGGGUUGAGGACAGUGUAUGGUGGGUAGUUUACCUGGGGCGGGUUCCUCCAAAAAAGUAACGGAGGAGUGCGAAGGUACCCUCAGCACGGUCGGAAAUCGUGCAUUGAGUGCAAAGGCAUAAGGGUGCUUAACUGUGAGACAGACAAGUCGAACAGGUACGAAAGUAGGUCUUAGUGAUCCGGUGGUUCUGUAUGGAAGGGCCAUCGCUCAACGGAUAAAAGGUACUCCGGGGAUAACAGGCUGAUUCCUCCCAAGAGUUCACAUCGACGGGGGAGUUUGGCACCUCGAUGUCGGCUCAUCACAUCCUGGGGCUGUAGUCGGUCCCAAGGGUAUGGCUGUUCGCCAUUUAAAGUGGUACGCGAGCUGGGUUUAGAACGUCGUGAGACAGUAAAUGACCUUGCUGUCUAAAAAUUUAGCUAAAUGCUGGAAAAACCGAGUAUCCACAUCUACUUCUUAAAUCCUCAUGUAAGAAGUGAUAAUGAUUGUGGUGCGGUCAAUCAGCAGGAAAGAUCAAGGUUAAAAAUGGAUAAUCAUUACAUUGCCGGAUUCGUGGAUGGUGAAGGGAGUUUCCAUGUUGCCUUUCAAAAGAAUCUGAGUGUAAGAUUAGGUUGGCAGGCAGUGCCUGAAUUUCAGAUAAGCCAAAAUUGGCACGCGGAGCGGGUGUUGCAGCUCAUUCAAGAAAUGUUGGAUUGUGGUUACAUUAAACAAAACCACAUUAAAAAUGAGCGUGAUAGAACACUUGUAUUCGUAGUCAGAAAUAGAAACGAUCUAUUACAAAAGAUUAUUCCAUUUUUUGAUAAGUAUCCUUUGUACACAGAGAAGAAAAAUGACUUUAUUCGAUUCAAACAGAUUGUGAAAAUGAUGGAUCGAGGCGAUCAUCUUUCGAUUGAUGGAUUCUCUGAAAUUGUUGAGUUAGCUUACUCAAUGAAUGCAAAUGGUUCUUAUAGAAAAGUUAAGAAAGAAAAAAUAUUAACUACCUUGAAAUCCUCAGAGGCCAUACGCUAGACGCAACAUAAAAUGUUGUGAAGAUAUGGUCCGAACCAUAUAGCGAUAUAUGGAUUCCGUGAAAAAGAGUAGCGGAACGCCAUUACUUGGUAAUGGUCAGUAAACUCUAUACUAUGAGUUGAAAGUAACAGAUUUGUCGGUCCCUAUCUACCGCGGGCGUUGGAAAUUUGAGAAGAGCUGCUUCUAGUACGAGAGGACCGAAGUGGACGUACCUCUGGUGUUCCAGUUAUCAUGCCAAUGGUAUUGCUGGGUAGCUAUGUACGGACGGGAUAACCGCUGAAAGCAUCUAAGCGGGAAGCCUCCUUCAAGAUUAGAUUUCCCGACCCUUUAUGGGUCCUCAAGGUCCGUUGAAGACUACGACGUUGAUAGGCGGGAUGUGGAAGUGCAGUAAUGUAUGAAGCUAACCCGUACUAAUUGACCGUGAGGCUUGACCCU